This is a long non-coding RNA of Sorghum bicolor (sorghum), 354 nucleotides long. RefSeq lists it as uncharacterized. The record is from RefSeq and is a predicted model, not a curated record. Lineage: Eukaryota; Viridiplantae; Streptophyta; Magnoliopsida; Poales; Poaceae. The transcript is spliced from 3 exons.
CUUCACGGCCCUAGAGGAAGCGGUCUCCUCUGCUCGUGGGUGCACUCCGACACCCUCUUCCACCAAGGCCAAGGAUUUAUCGGUGAACAUUCCUAAGACCAAGAAGACCUACUGCAAGAACAAUGAGUGCUGGAAGCACACUCUGCACAAGGUGACUCAAUGCAAGAAGGGUGACGAUAGCCUAUCAGCACAAGCCUGGAAGCAGUUGGCCUACAUUGAGCUGAGAGGAAAGGAAGUAGCUAGAAGGUGGAUACUCUAUGUAAUUACUUACUAUGAAGUGUAAUGUGAUGUGUGAACUAAUCUGUGUACUUGAAGUGUGAACUAUCUGUACUGCUGUGAAAUGUACCAUGAAAC